GGAGUCGUAAUGAAAAGAAAUCUGUAAAAGCUGUGAUUUUCAAAAUUUUUGAGAAUUCGUUUAGAUCUCCUAGCAACGGCAGUGUUUAUCAUUUGACACAUUUCCUGUGUUGUAUUCGCGUGAUUUAUGCGUGAUUUCAUAGUGGGAUAGUGCUUCUCAAAGUUUUCUUAAUUUAUGUGUUUACAUUGUACAUUGUAGAGUGUAAUUGCCAAAUAACAAAAAUGCAAGACAACAACAUGUUACGGAUAUACGACGAGAGUUAAGCCGAUCUUUGGGUUCCACAUCCAAAUCGGUUUAUGGCGCAAAUAAUAAAGCCGCGAAUAACCAAAAACUGGUGGUUUUAAACAACAACCAAAUUUAUAGCAGAGGGUACACUGGCUUCUAUCAUUUUCGACCAGACAAAGACUACAUACCAGGAACGCAAAAGCCGCAUAGAUUUGCAGUACCAGCUAUUUUGCCUUUCCACGCUGAUAGUGAACUUGCUACAGCAUCACUCGAAGCAAACCACAUUGAUGUGGCAAUCACAAGAACGCCUUUCGCUCCGCCAAGAAGUUUCUAAAAGAUCAACGUUUGGCUGGUAUCGUGAAAGGAUUGGCUUCUUUUCAGCGAGAAUUUUUUGAAAACUAGAUUAGAAACGUACAUCGAAAAGCAGGAGUUUUACAUUUGAGGUGAAAGCAGAUGCCAUUGCCAUUUGGAAGUAUGGUUCAAAAUCGUAUAAACUUCUGCCAAGAAUGUUUAUGUUGCUAUCUAUUAACACUUUGAGGGCAACCCUAAAUAAAGUUCCAAUAGAACCGGGUAUCAUCAAACCUAUAUUCGAAGUUCUCAGAAAGCAAGUAAGUCGCAAAAUUAACCCUAAGUAUGUACUCUCAUCUUUGAUGAGAUGUUCAUUCAGCCUCAUCUGAACCACUUGCCUUAUGAGGACAGUUGUGGUUUUUGAAGAUGACGGUUCAACAAGGACGGAAAAAAUUGCAGACCAUAUUUGCGUACUCAGAGGAAUUUUCGGAAGGUAGAAGCUACCUGUUGUUUUUGCUUUUUGUAAAAAUUCUAUGCCUGGCGUAAACACUGCCCAUUUUUU
Long non-coding RNA from Zophobas morio, 1075 nucleotides. RefSeq lists it as uncharacterized. Lineage: Eukaryota; Metazoa; Arthropoda; Insecta; Coleoptera; Tenebrionidae. The transcript has 3 exons. The record is from RefSeq and is a predicted model, not a curated record.